RNAcentral lists this ribosomal RNA (342 nucleotides) under Klebsiella pneumoniae. Its description in RNAcentral is "partial 23S ribosomal RNA". It matches the Rfam family "Bacterial large subunit ribosomal RNA", at positions 2482 to 2823 of the family's 2925-position model. RNAcentral also lists the same sequence under 1 other name. Lineage: Bacteria; Pseudomonadati; Pseudomonadota; Gammaproteobacteria; Enterobacterales; Enterobacteriaceae. The record is from RNAcentral.
CUGAUACCGCCCAAGAGUUCAUAUCGACGGCGGUGUUUGGCACCUCGAUGUCGGCUCAUCACAUCCUGGGGCUGAAGUAGGUCCCAAGGGUAUGGCUGUUCGCCAUUUAAAGUGGUACGCGAGCUGGGUUUAGAACGUCGUGAGACAGUUCGGUCCCUAUCUGCCGUGGGCGCUGGAGAAUUGAGGGGGGCUGCUCCUAGUACGAGAGGACCGGAGUGGACGCAUCACUGGUGUUCGGGUUGUCAUGCCAAUGGCACUGCCCGGUAGCUAAAUGCGGAAGAGAUAAGUGCUGAAAGCAUCUAAGCACGAAACUUGCCCCGAGAUGAGUUCUCCCUGAGACUU